Molecule: ribosomal RNA, 426 nt
Filed under: uncultured bacterium
Lineage: Bacteria
Description: bacterial SSU rRNA
Rfam family: Bacterial small subunit ribosomal RNA
Source: RNAcentral
GAUGAACGCUAGCGGCAGGCUUAAUACAUGCAAGUCGAGGGGCAGCAUGACUGUAGCAAUACAGUUGAUGGCGACCGGCAAACGGGUGCGGAACACGUACAGAACCUUCCUUCGAGCGGGGAAUAGCCCAGAGAAAUUUGGAUUAAUACCCCAUAGUACAACGGAGUGGCAUCACUUUGUUGUUAAAGAUUUAUCACUUGAAGAUGGCUGUGCGGCUGAUUAGGUAGUUGGCGGGGUAACGGCCCACCAAGCCUGCGAUCAGUAACUGGUGUGAGAGCACGACCAGUCACACGGGCACUGAGACACGGGCCCGACUCCUACGGGAGGCAGCAGUAAGGAAUAUUGGUCAAUGGGGGAAACCCUGAUCUAGCUACGCCGCGUGGGUGAUGAAGGCCUUCGGUUGUAAGACCUGUCGAGGGGACGGAA